Molecule: ribosomal RNA, 258 nt
Filed under: uncultured bacterium
Lineage: Bacteria
Description: partial 16S ribosomal RNA
Rfam family: Bacterial small subunit ribosomal RNA
Source: RNAcentral
CAAACGGGUGAGUAACACGUAAACAACCUGCCUUCAGGAUGGGGACAACAGUUGGAAACGACUGCUAAUACCGCAUAAGCUCACGGUGCCGCAUGGCACAGAGGGAAAAGGAGCAAUCCGCUUUGAGAUGGCCUCGCGUCCGAUUAGCUAGUUGGUGAGGUAACGGCCCACCAAGGCAACGAUCGGUAGCCGGACUGAGAGGUUGAACGGCCACAUUGGGACUGAGACACGGCCCAGACUCCUACGGGAGGCAGCAUG